Molecule: ribosomal RNA, 532 nt
Filed under: uncultured bacterium
Lineage: Bacteria
Description: bacterial SSU rRNA
Rfam family: Bacterial small subunit ribosomal RNA
Source: RNAcentral
AAUAGAUACCCUGGUAGUCCACGCCGUAAACGAUGAGUGCUAAGUGUUAGAGGGUUUCCGCCCUUUAGUGCUGCAGCUAACGCAUUAAGCACUCCGCCUGGGGAGUACGGCCGCAAGGCUGAAACUCAAAGGAAUUGACGGGGGCCCGCACAAGCGGUGGAGCAUGUGGUUUAAUUCGAAGCAACGCGAAGAACCUUACCAGGUCUUGACAUCCUCUGCUAACCCUAGAGAUAGGGCGUUCCCCUUCGGGGGACAGAGUGACAGGUGGUGCAUGGUUGUCGUCAGCUCGUGUCGUGAGAUGUUGGGUUAAGUCCCGCAACGAGCGCAACCCUUGACCUUAGUUGCCAGCAUUCAGUUGGGCACUCUAAGGUGACUGCCGGUGACAAACCGGAGGAAGGUGGGGAUGACGUCAAAUCAUCAUGCCCCUUAUGACCUGGGCUACACACGUGCUACAAUGGAUGGUACAAAGGGCUGCGAGACCGCGAGGUUAAGCCAAUCCCAUAAAACCAUUCUCAGUUCGGAUUGCAGGCUG